CCAAUAGCGUAUAUUAAAGUUGUUGCAGUUAAAAAGCUCGUAGUUGAAUUUCGGGAUUGACGUGAUGGUCGUGCCUUAAGGGGUAUGAACUGUCGCAGUUGAUUUCUCACCUUCUGGAGAAGCUUGAUGUCCUUAAUUGGGUGUCAUGUGGAACCAGGACCUUUACCUUGAAAAAAUUAGAGUGUUUAAAGCAGGCAUUUUGCUCGAAUACAUUAGCAUGGAAUAAUAGAAUAGGACGGCAUGGUUCUAUUUUGUUGGUUUCUAGGAUCACCGUAAUGAUUAAUAGGGAUAGUUGGGGGCAUUAGUAUUCAAUUGUCAGAGGUGAAAUUCUUGGAUUUAUUGAAGACUAACUACUGCGAAAGCAUUCGCCAAGGAUGUUUUCAUUAAUCAAGAACGAAAGUUAGGGGAUCGAAGACGAUCAGAUACCGUCGUAGUCUUAACCAUAAACUAUGCCGACUAGGAAUCAGACGAUGUUAAUUUUUUAAUGACUCGUUUGGCACCUUACG
RNAcentral lists this ribosomal RNA (506 nucleotides) under uncultured Glomeromycotina. RNAcentral describes it as "partial small subunit ribosomal RNA". It matches the Rfam family "Eukaryotic small subunit ribosomal RNA", at positions 591 to 1092 of the family's 1831-position model. Lineage: Eukaryota; Fungi; Glomeromycota. The record is from RNAcentral.